UUUCAAAAUUUACAUAUUAUAAAUUCAUGAAGCCUUUUGUUAGCCUAUGUCAUUUUUAUUUGAAAACAUUUUAACUUAAUUGAAUUUAAAUAAUUUCUUUUUUAAAUGACAGCUAACAGUUGCCUUUUCAGUAUUGUUUAAUAUAUUAACAUGCCAAUAAUGUAAGAAGCAAACGUUGAUUACAAUGCCUAUAGAAAACCCAUCAAAACUUUUGCACUCAUCCAAUAAGUAUUAGUCGACGGGAAAAACAAGUGAUCCCGAUGUAAAAAUUGCUACUAUUAAUUAUAAAACAAAUGUAUUAAUUUUCUCAGUAAUUAAUAAAAAAUCAUAUCUUUAAUAUCAUAAAAAUGUAACUAUUAAUAUACGUACAUACAUAUAUGUUUGAUAUAUAGAAGUAUAAUUAUUAGUUUUUAAUCAUUUUUUAAUCUAUUCAUCUCUCUCUGCCUGCUAUAUAAUGUGUGUGUGUGUGUGUGUGUGUGUGUGUGUGUGUGAGAGAUAAUGUAUUUGUGGGUAAAAAUAUCUUAAGUAUGAUUUGUAUUUCCUUCGUAAAUCAAUGAAACGCAUUGGUAUCAUAGUACCGGUCAUCGAUGACUACAAUGUGACAUACAACGUGUUAACACUUCAAAGCCCCAAAGCGAACAUUAAUAAUGCCUACACAAUGCUCGAUGAAAUGACAUCUCGUACCGUAAAUCAUUUAGCGAUAUGACAUGUAGCACAAAAAAGUUUAAGCUCACUGAAUAAUUGACAGCGAGAUGUUUUGACGGCGUGUAACUUCAAUUUAAAAAAUAUCGAAGAAUCCGAUCGUGCUGGAUUCGUUUUUAAAUAUAGCCGGGUAUCCUCGUUUAUUUUCUAAGCUUAUUUCCUACCUCGAGAUUGUCACCCUAUUUCUGCCACAUUGUUAUACAAUAUAUUGUGUAUAAAUCAAUUGGGCCGCGGCAACCUCGAGAAGCGAGAACCAGAGGAGCAAAUAGGUGUUACACAUCAAUGGCUUCGCGCGUACAUAUAUAGGCAGCCAUUAAGAGACAAGGAUCGCUUCGCGCUUUACAACAAUGUCGGGCUAUUAAUGGACUUCAAUAGGCGCAAUCUGUACGUCCGCCGCGUGCGUAAAUCGUGUCGUAUCGUUUUUCGCCUACUUUUCAUCGUUAUCUUAUUUGUGCCGUCUGUUUUUAAAUUUCAUUUAAUUUUUCGAAUUCGUGAUUUCUACUAAACGGAAAGAAUUAUCUCUUAUUUAUAUAAAUUAUUUUUAGCCCCAAGUAAAUUUUCUAGUUGCAUUAUCAAUUUCUGAAAUUGAAUGAGAUGGAUUUUGACGUUGUAACAUUAUUAUGAACGACCUAUUAUAUUCUGGGUUCCAUCGAUGCGUGACUUGUGAUAGUAAAGGAUGCACCGAGAAUUCAAGAAAAAGGAAUACAGAGCGUCAGGUCCUGAUAAGAUGUCCUGAAACAUUUGUCGUACAAGCACAAUACCACAUUCUCCAGCGAUAACUGUUACAGCCGCGUUAGACCUAAACGACGUUUCUUCGACAUUGCCCCGGAAGCCUCCGGUAUACGAGUGCAUUAUAUGUGUACUCCACGCUUCAGAGAUUGCAGCUCUGCAAAACGACCCGACUAUAUUUCGCGCCGCGAGACAGCGCUCGUUUUAUUUCCGGGAAAUGAAUAGCCGGCGUACAUUUUCAUUGUCGGCAACGGUUUUCGACAAAUUACUUUUAAUUGCGGCCUGCCGGAAUUCGUUAGCACGCUUCUAUGGCACACACACGAAGGGAGAAAGGAAGAGGGGGAGAGAAAGAUGGAGCAAGAGAGAGAGAGAGAGAGAGAGAGAGAGAAGAAAGGUGUACAUACGUAUCAUUGAUGGCAGGUAUACAUGGCGCGCGCGGCAAUGAGAAACAGAGAGAUCAGUUCACGCUUUAUAACAACGGCAGCCGAGCCAUUCACGGGACUCAAUAGAUACAAUCUACACAAUCGAGAAGCGAACACCGCCGCGGCCGGUUCACGCGGUCGCCAUUAUUCAAUCCUGCGCCGGCUGUCCUUCCGCACACAGCGUGCUCCUCGGACAUCCUUUCAACGUAUGGAAAAAUAAUUGCCAGAUUCUGUUCCUUCGCGUACAUAUAUAUUUGGAUCUGGAUUAAACAACAUCGGACUGCCAUUCGUGAGGUAAAUAAGCAACGAAUGUUUUCUUUAAUAAAUUCAUGUACUUGUUUUAUUCACAUUACAGAUACUUUAUUUCCUUUUUCAUGUCGAGAUUAGUCAAAAUCGAUCUUCAAUUUAUUGAGCAUACGAGAGCAUAAAUUUUCUUCGAAAAUUUAUAAUCCUGAUAUAGGACAAAUAUGAAAAAUUUCCAACACUUUUUAGGCCACCGUUUUCGGUAACCGUAAUUUUAGGUAACUCUAGGUUGUAGAAAAAUAACUGACUGUUUUUCUUUCUCCAUGUUCAUAUAAUUUUAUAAUUACUUUUCAUCCACUGAGAUCAAAUCUAACAUUUCUUUGCUUAGAAAAAAAUAAAGUUAAUUAAUCUUAAAUUUUUACCAUCCAACGAAAAAAAAA
This 2536-nucleotide long non-coding RNA is filed under the name Monomorium pharaonis (pharaoh ant). Its description in RNAcentral is "uncharacterized LOC114253997". Lineage: Eukaryota; Metazoa; Arthropoda; Insecta; Hymenoptera; Formicidae. The record is from RNAcentral.